CCUACGGGUGGCAGCAGUGGGGAAUAUUGCACAAUGGGGGAAACGCUGAUGCAGCGACGCCGCGUGAGUGAAGAAGUCAUUCGUUAUGUAAAGCCCUAUCAGCCGGGAAGAAAAUGACGGUACCUGAGUAAGAAGCCCCGGGUAACUACGUGCCAGCAGCCGUGGUAAAAUGGCGGGGGCAAGCGUUAUCCGGAUUUAAUGGGGGUUAAAGGUGUGUAGACGGCAGGGCAAAGCUGGAGGUAAAGGCGGGGGGUCAAACCCCGGACUGCUCUGGAAACUGUACGGCUUGAGUGCGGGAGAGGUAUGUGGAAUGCGUGGUGUAGCGGUGAAAUGCAUAGAUAUUAGGCAGAACACCGAUGGCGAAGGCAGCUUACUGGACUGUAACUGACGUUGAGGCACGAAAGCGUGGGUAGCGAACAGGAUUAGAUACCCUAGUAGUC
Molecule: ribosomal RNA, 440 nt
Filed under: uncultured bacterium
Lineage: Bacteria
Description: partial 16S ribosomal RNA
Rfam family: Bacterial small subunit ribosomal RNA
Source: RNAcentral